CCUGCCUUGUAGAGGGGAAGUAGCCUUCCGAAAGGAAAGAUUAAUACCGCAUAACAUUACAUUUUCGCAUGAAGAAGUAAUUAAAGGAAGCAAUCCGCUACAAGAUGGCCGCGGCGCAUUAGCUAGUUGGUGAGGUAACGGCUCACCAAGGCGACGAUGCGUAGCCGACCUGAGAGGGUGAUCGGCCACAUUGGGACUGAGACACGGCCCAGACUCCUACGGGAGGCAGCAUG
RNAcentral lists this ribosomal RNA (233 nucleotides) under uncultured bacterium. RNAcentral describes it as "partial 16S ribosomal RNA". It matches the Rfam family "Bacterial small subunit ribosomal RNA", at positions 125 to 353 of the family's 1533-position model. The record is from RNAcentral.